Molecule: ribosomal RNA, 478 nt
Filed under: uncultured bacterium
Lineage: Bacteria
Description: partial 16S ribosomal RNA
Rfam family: Bacterial small subunit ribosomal RNA
Source: RNAcentral
GACGAACGUUGGCGGCGUGCUUAACACAUGCAAGUCGAACGGUAAGGCCCUUCGGGGUACACGAGUGGCGAACGGGUGAGUAACACGUGGGUGAUCUACCCUGCACUUCGGGAUAAGCCUGGGAAACUGGGUCUAAUACCGGAUAGGACCACUGCCUGCAUGGGUGGUGGUGGAAAGCUUUUGCGGUGCGGGAUGGGCCCGCGGCCUAUCAGCUUGUUGGUGGGGUGAUGGCCUACCAAGGCGACGACGGGUAGCCGGCCUGAGAGGGUGACCGGCCACACUGGGACUGAGAUACGGCCCAGACUCCUACGGGAGGCAGCAGUGGGGAAUAUUACACAAUGGGCGCAAGCCUGAUGCAGCGACGCCGCGUGAGGGAUGACGGCCUUCGGGUUGUAAACCUCUUUCAGCACCGACGAAGCGCAAGUGACGGUAGGUGCAGAAGAAGGACCGGCCAACUACGUGCCAGCCGCCGCAGUAA